Molecule: long non-coding RNA, 421 nt
Organism: Leptidea sinapis
Lineage: Eukaryota; Metazoa; Arthropoda; Insecta; Lepidoptera; Pieridae
Exons: 2
Source: RefSeq, a predicted model, not a curated record
UUUGCUCGUUCUGUGCCAAAUGUAAUUCCCAAGCUUUGAGUAUAAAUACCAGAGAAUCUUUAAACGAAUUUGUAUAAUUCUUCUAUUCCAGCAGUAAAACAUUCAACAUGAACUCAAAGGUAAUCCUGAUCGCUACAAUCAUGCUUGUCCUGGUUGAACUCAGCACUUCAGCAUCUCGUGUUCGUCGUGAAGAAACUAAUUCUGAAGGAGGUUCCGGUGGUGAUGCAUCUGCAUCCUCUAGCAGCAAUACUGAUUUCAUCAAUAACUUAAGUCAAAUGUUCGGGAAUGUGCCGAUGAGUCCUCAAGACUUCAUGAAACCUUUUCUGAGUUUCAUAAAUCGGAAUGGAUCUCAAUAAGAGAUUGUGGUGAUUAAACAAUAUGCUUUCUUUUAUAUAAUUGUGCAAUAAAUGUGUUUGAAGCA